Long non-coding RNA from Carcharodon carcharias (great white shark), 293 nucleotides. RefSeq lists it as uncharacterized. The transcript is spliced from 3 exons. NCBI's taxonomy places the organism in Eukaryota, Metazoa, Chordata, Chondrichthyes, Lamniformes, Lamnidae. The record is from RefSeq and is a predicted model, not a curated record.
GUGUGGUUCAACUCCAGCUGCAGAUAUUGGGACCAGCAGUGCUGACUCUGAAACAGAGAUGCUGCACAACAGGAGCAAUCACCUGCUAGGCAGGACAAAACACUUCAGUUCUUUGAAUGUACAAUGGAGAGAGACCAGAAAAAAGGCUCUAGGCCUGCAACGACAACAGAGGAGCAGUUGGCUUCCAGUUUCUGCAUCCCAUAAGGAUUAGCUGCAGAGGUGACACAUUCUACAUGAAUGUCAGAAUGGGAGUGACAAUCGCCUUGGAAGGAUUUCAAGUGUGACCUGGUUAU